GACGAACGCUGGCGGCGUGGAUUAGGCAUGCAAGUCGGACGGUAGGGCUUUAUCGUAAGAUAGAGUUUGAGAGUGGCGAACGGGUGAGUAACACGUAGGAAUCUACCCUUAAGACGGGGACAACCCGGGGAAACUCGGGCUAAUACCGCAUACGUCCUACGGGAGAAAGGGGGCCUCUGAAUGUAAGCUCCCACUCCAGGAUGAGCCCACGUCCGAUUAGCUAGUUGGUAGGGUAAAGGCCUACCAAGGGCCACGAUCGGUAGCUGGUCUGAGAGGAUGAUCAGCCACACUGGGACUGAGACACGGCCCAGACUCCUACGGGAGGCAGCAGUGGGGAAUAUUGGACAAUGGGCGCAAGCCUGAUCCAGCAAUGCCGCGUGUGUGAAGAAGGCCUGCGGGUUGUAAAGCACUUUCAGUGGGGAAGAACAGGCCUGGGCUAAUACCCCAGGUGUCUGACGUUACCCACAGAAGAAGCACCGGCUAACUCCGUGCCAGCAGCCGCGGUAAGAGU
RNAcentral lists this ribosomal RNA (511 nucleotides) under uncultured bacterium. RNAcentral's name for it is "bacterial SSU rRNA". It matches the Rfam family "Bacterial small subunit ribosomal RNA", at positions 28 to 527 of the family's 1533-position model. The record is from RNAcentral.